Molecule: long non-coding RNA, 274 nt
Organism: Microtus oregoni (creeping vole)
Lineage: Eukaryota; Metazoa; Chordata; Mammalia; Rodentia; Cricetidae
Exons: 3
Source: RefSeq, a predicted model, not a curated record
CAGUUGUCCUGAGUUGUGUAGGAAAGGAAGCUGAACAGGAGCCCGAAAGCAAGCAGUCUGCUGUCUGGGCCUCCGGAGAGGCACCACCUCCUACCAUACAGAGGGGAAUUACCACUGUGGAUUCGCUAUUCUCGCCUAGAAGAUAACCAGCUGUAGAGCAGCAGGCACCGGGGCAUAUUCGAGGUCUUCCUGCAGCUGACAUUAAGGACACAGCUCAUAAGAAGAACCUUCAUCUGGUGAUGGAUGGAGAUAGAGACAGAGACCCACACUGGAG